AAAAAGAGGGCCCGAAGUCUCGCGCAGCUCUUGAUGUGAAGCGCAGACACUCUGGACGCUUCCGCGCCGCGAAGUUGCCCAAGCAGCGGCUGUCAUGAGCGGUGCCAACGCUCCUAGGCCAGAGACUCUGGCGGCAGUCAGGAAGCAGGCGCAGCAGAUCGGCCGCCGCAAUCCCUCCUACCUGCUUGAGGCUAGCGCGUCGCCCUAGGCCAAGCGAUCACAUCCAACAGCGCCAGCAUCGAGACUUGAUUAGCGAUUCGUGCAGUGAUCGACAAUGUAGUGCUGGCUGCCUCGCCAAGGUCGGGAACCUGAGUUCUUUACAGCUGUGGGCGCGAUACUGGAACGGUUUCGCAUCGCCAACCCCAUCGCGGCCUCGGGCAUGAAUACGCUAAAACCAACCAACAGCAUAGACGCUCUGUCGCUCGCCUCCGGCCUGACAGCUUUCCUCGGCGAUGAGUACGAAGGCCGGAAUGGAGAGCGGGCUGCACGCAACUCUCCCCAGACAUAAGCCGACUUGACCCCAGCCGAAAGGCGGACGGAGUUGAUACCACGCCAAUUCGUGGGCAUGGUAUUGCACUUCACGCACUCUAUGCAGACGCCCCGCUUAAACGCCGCUGAGGUGUUCGACAUCAUGGCAGCCAGCAGAGCCGUAGGCGGGCUCGGGUGGGGUGACUCCAUCCCUUAUGUGCCCACUACCGCCCCCUUCCCAUUUGGAGGCUGAUGCGCGAUACCGGUGUACGCGAUCAGGUCGUGGUCGGUGUCUUCGCGUGUCACAGCUUCAGGCCGUUGGGCGGCUUCCCGUUGGCCCCAGAGGAGUUGGAAGGUAAGGGAUGCGGGGGCUUCCGCCGUCUCUCGGAAGUGGGGAGAGGGAGCGACCAAUCUAUGCCUUGCGACAGCGGUGGGCCGAGAUGAGCUCGGCGAGCAAACACAUUGAUGUUCAGGCCACAUAACUUUUCGCUUCAACCGCGAAACACGCUGCACAAUCCGGUCCGUGAGCACACGCAAUCCUGCACCUCCGCCUCCAGAACGAAUAGACCCUCUAGGUGAUGGCGAUCGUGGGUGUUUCUGCUGACCAGACACCAGUUGCCGAUGUCCAGAGAGGCGUAAACGGCUACAGCAGCAUCGGACGAGACUUCGGUCGAAACCCGCUUCAUUGUAUCGCAGACGAACUCACGAUUCGCAAACAAACGCCCGUAAUCUUCUUUGGCGUCGACGGACCGACACAUCCGGCCGAUGCGCUGUCGCGCAACUUUGGGGUAGACACCUCUGGUGAGGUGAAGGGAUGCGCAGCCGCUUUCAUGUGAAGCCCUCGACUCCUGGAAGCGCACUCGCUACGUGCGGAGAAAGAGGUAGCGCAGUGCUCGGCGUUUGUGUGUGUGUGUGCGUGUGUGUGUGGAGGGUGAUGGGGCUGACGUGCUACACCAAAGCCGAGGAGCGCGGCUGGUAAUAUGGACGAACGGGAGUUAGGGAGGGCGCUGAUGGUGGUGGGGAAGCCAGCCCUCGUCUGGAAGCAGUGCAGAGCCCUUUCUUCUGCCCUCCUUGAGGCGCGAAUCUCACAGCCAACCGACAUGGAGGAGAGGCGUAAGCGAAGGUGAAGAGGAGGAUGGAAAGCGAGCGAAGACCACACCGGCGUGCGAGCUGGAGGCAUGUGUGUGCAAAACGCCGCUGCACUGUAGGAGAAACACCUCUUUCCCUUUUUGGCGCGAGCACAGGUGGAGGCGGCAACCAUAAAAGAGAUGUGGUGCCUCGCUUCCUCUCUCUUUUCGUAUGCGUGUGCCUGAAUGCGUGUAUUGAUCUGAGCUGCUCUUCACACGCCUGCUGACGCACUGCGGCUGGGCUUCGGUGAGCGCUGCUUUCCUUCACUGUUUCCGUACCUUACCGCAUGCUCAGCACUUAUUCCUUUUCUUGUCACCCCUACCCCCUCCCUCGUCCCUCAG
Molecule: unclassified non-coding RNA, 1937 nt
Filed under: Leishmania donovani
Lineage: Eukaryota; Euglenozoa; Kinetoplastea; Trypanosomatida; Trypanosomatidae
Description: gene:unknown
Source: RNAcentral